RNAcentral lists this transfer RNA (73 nucleotides) under Erinaceus europaeus (western European hedgehog). It matches the Rfam family "tRNA". Rfam says of the family: Transfer RNA (tRNA) molecules are approximately 80 nucleotides in length. The record is from Rfam by way of RNAcentral. Lineage: Eukaryota; Metazoa; Chordata; Mammalia; Eulipotyphla; Erinaceidae.
GGCAGUGUGGCUUAGCAGGCAGAGUGCAGAACUUGCAUGCACGAGGCCCUGGGUUUGAUCCCCGGCACUGCCU